This 420-nucleotide ribosomal RNA is filed under the name bacterium. RNAcentral's name for it is "partial 16S ribosomal RNA". It matches the Rfam family "Bacterial small subunit ribosomal RNA", at positions 355 to 776 of the family's 1533-position model. The record is from RNAcentral.
UGGGGGAUAUUGCACAAUGGGCGAAAGCCUGAUGCAGCGACGCCGCGUGGGGGAUGAAGGCUUUCGGGUUGUAAACCUCUUUCGCUAUCGAACAAGGCCCGCUUAGGGUGGGUUGAGGGUAGGUGGAGAAGAAGCGCCGGCUAACUACGUGCCAGCAGCCGCGGUAAUACGUAGGGCGCGAGCGUUGUCCGGAAUUAUUGGGCGUAAAGGGCUUGUAGGCGGUUUGUUGCGCCUGCUGUGAAAACGCGGGGCUUAACUUCGCGCGUGCAGUGGGUACGGGCAGGCUUGAGUGUGGUAGGGGUGACUGGAAUUCCAAGUGUAGCGGUGGAAUGCGCAGAUAUCUGGAGGAACACCGAUGGCGAAGGCAGGUCACUGGGCCAUUACUGACGCUGAGGAGCGAAAGCAUGGGUAGCGAACAGG